ACCUCAUCAGCCUGCCAAGGUGACGAUGCAAGAGGCCAAGAGGGCAAAUAUUCGACUUCCAUCUAAAGUAAAUCGGAUCUUAUAUAUAAGGAAUUUGCCAUACAAAAUCACAGCUGAAGAAAUGUAUGAUAUUUUUGGAAAAUAUGGGCCUAUUCAUCAGAUCAGAGUGGAGAACACACCUGAAACUAGAGAAACAGCUUAUGUGGUCUAUGAAGACAUCUUUGAUGCCACGAACGCAUGUCAUCACCUAUCAGGAUUCAAUGUUUGUAACAGAUACCUUGUGGUUUUGUACUAUAAUGGCAACAGGGCAUUUCAGAAGAUGGACACAAAGAAGGAGGAGGAACAGUUGAAACUUCUCAAGGAGAAAUACAGCAUCAACACAGAUCCACCAAAAUAAAUGUUUACUUUCAUUUUGGACUUAAACCCACAAAUGACCACCACUGCCUUUUUUCCUUUUUAAUACUGAAUAUUGUGAUUUCUUAUUUGAGAUUCAAAAAAGAAUCUCAAACUUUGAUACAUAUCAGGAUAUAUUAUG
RNA transcript from Otolemur garnettii (small-eared galago), 535 nucleotides. It is a transcript of the gene named splicing factor 3B subunit 6 pseudogene, with no coding region annotated. The record is from RefSeq and is a predicted model, not a curated record. NCBI's taxonomy places the organism in Eukaryota, Metazoa, Chordata, Mammalia, Primates, Galagidae. The transcript has a single exon.